Molecule: RNA transcript, 2411 nt
Organism: Momordica charantia (bitter melon)
Lineage: Eukaryota; Viridiplantae; Streptophyta; Magnoliopsida; Cucurbitales; Cucurbitaceae
Gene name: CBL-interacting serine/threonine-protein kinase 24
Source: RefSeq, a predicted model, not a curated record
AUCACGCGGUCGCAAUCUGGCCGUCUGCGUGUGGGAUUGCAAUGUACGGUGGCGUCGCACCCCGUUAUUUUCGGCCAUAGAUAAUGAUUGGUGGUCAUUUCUAUUUCUUGCCGGGCCCGAUUACAGCAAAUUCCAAUAUUUUCUGCCGGAGCUCUGCUGAUUAAGUAAAUUCCGGCGAGGAUAGUACGGAAAUGGAUUAGCUGGAAGCUUUCCUUUGCAAUCCCAAGUUUCAGAUCGUUGUGUGGGUUGUUUGUGAUUGAUUUCCGUGCAACUGAUUUUAAUUUUUGGUAUCUAUAUUGGGAACGAGAAGAAUAUUGUGCUCGAGUAUGAAGAGAAAUUAAGUGCAUAGCUGAAGAACGAUGCGAAAUCGAUGACUAUUGUCCUUGCACAAAGCUGAGGCGCACUAUUCGAAUUUGAUCGCGGAGUUGUGUUCUUUGUUGAAUUUCGUCGAUUGAUGUUUUUUCUGUCAUGUUAGAUGCUUACAACUAUUAUUUUUCUUAGUUGAGAACUAUUUCGGAGUUGUGUUUUCUUCUGGGAAAUGCGAUAAUGAAGCGGCCGUCCAGAAAAGUUGGGAAGUAUGAGGUUGGGCGGACUGUUGGCGAGGGAACGUUCGCCAAGGUUAAGUUUGCACGUAACACGGAAACGGGGGAGAGUGUGGCCAUGAAAGUUUUGGCCAAAAGCAGCAUUCUCAAGCACAAAAUGGUAGAACAGAUUAAGAGGGAGAUAUCGAUAAUGAAAAUUGUGAGGCAUCCACAUAUUGUCAGAUUGCUUGAGGUGUUGGCUAGCCAAACAAAGAUAUAUAUUAUUCUCGAGUUUGUCACUGGAGGUGAACUAUAUGAUACAAUAGUUCUUCAAAAGAAGCUUCCAGAAAUGGAGUCUAGACGAUACUUUCAACAACUGGUAGAUGCCGUUGCUCAUUGUCACAGCAAGGGUGUGUACCAUAGGGACCUUAAGCCUGAAAACCUCCUUCUUGAUGCUGAUGGAAAUCUGAAGGUUUCCGACUUUGGACUGAGUGCGCUGUCUCAACAAGGCAUUGAGCUACUUCAUACCACAUGUGGAACUCCUAAUUAUGUUGCACCCGAGGUGCUUGGAGGUCAGGGUUAUGAUGGUGCAGCUGCAGAUAUAUGGUCAUGUGGAGUUAUCCUCUUUGUACUAAUGGCUGGAUAUCUUCCAUUCUCAGAGACGGACCUUCCCACUUUAUACAAGAAGAUAAAUGCAGCAGAGUAUUCCUGCCCCUAUUGGUUUUCAUCUGGUGCGAAGUCCUUGAUACAGAAGAUCCUUGAUCCAAAUCCCACAAAUCGGAUUCGAAUUGAAGAAAUUAGAAAAGAUCCAUGGUUCAGAAGAAACUACAUCCCUGCUAAACUAGGAGAAGAUGAGGAAGUAACCUUGGACGACGUUCGUGCUGUUUUUGAUGACAUUGAGGAAGAAUAUGUAGCUGAUCAGUCAGAUAAAAGUGAUGACGGUCCUUUACUAAUGAAUGCAUUUGAGAUGAUAACAUUAUCUCAAGGAUUAAAUCUGUCACCGUUAUUUGACCGGCGACAGGACUAUAUAAAGCGGCAAACACGUUUCGUUUCUCAAAAACCUGCUAACAUUAUUAUGUCUACCAUGGAAGCCGUAGCAGAAGCAAUGGGUCUAAACGUCCACACACGUAAUUUCAAGACAAGGUUGGAAAGAAGGACAGGACAUAAGGUUGGACAGUUUGCAGCUGUACUGGAGAUUUAUGAAGUGGCCCCAUCACUUUUUAUGGUGGAUGUUCGCAAGGCUGCUGGAGAUACUCUAGAAUAUCACAAGUUCUACAAAAAAUUCUGUGGUAACCUAGAAAACAUAAUCUGGAAACCAUCAUAGAGUCUGGUGAACUGAAGCCUGUUUGGUUACUUUACUACUAACUAGUCUUAUGGAGCAAAUGAGCAAGCAGAGGCUUUGCUUUGUCCACGAUCAUCUGAACUUCAUAUAUGCUGCCAUGAUUUACAAAACUUGAAGGGGCCAAGCCACAAAUGAUAUGACGCUGGAAGUGUGUAAAAAAGAAGAAGAGAGAAGUAAUAAUUGGGGGAAAAAAGGAAUAAGACAUCCGCGGGAAAGCUCGGAUUGUACAGAAUGUUGUUGAAAAUAAAUAAGCUUUUUGUCGUGAGCUGUUAAACGUACGGCAAAUACGAUGUGAUUGUGUUAAUUGAAGUGUUCAAACAUUACAAAAUGUUGUAUGAAACCGAAAUCUUUGUUCGUUCUAUGAACAACGAAUAAUGGGGCAUGUCAGAAUUCAGACAACUUGGGGCAAAGACAUUGACUUUAUGAUAGUGAACAAUGUAAGAUGUCGUGUGCGUUGACGACACAGUUGUUAAAUUGGCACAAUCAUAUGUAAUUUGCUGUAUUGUGAUGGGAACAUUUCGAAUACAUAUUAUUUUGCCUUUUCUUAA